RNAcentral lists this ribosomal RNA (730 nucleotides) under bacterium IMCC8820. RNAcentral describes it as "bacterial SSU rRNA". It matches the Rfam family "Bacterial small subunit ribosomal RNA", at positions 28 to 749 of the family's 1533-position model. The record is from RNAcentral.
AUUGAACGCUGGCGGAAUGCUUUACACAUGCAAGUCGAACGGCAGCAUAGAGAGCUUGCUCUCUGAUGGCGAGUGGCGAACGGGUGAGUAACAUAUCGGAACGUACCUAGUAAUGGGGAACAACUAAUCGAAAGAUUAGCUAAUACCGCAUACGACCUACGGGUGAAAGCAGGGGAUCUUCGGACCUUGCGUUAUUAGAGCGGCCGAUAUCUGAUUAGGUAGUUGGUGGGGUAAAAGCCUACCAAGCCGACGAUCAGUAGCUGGUCUGAGAGGACGAUCAGCCACACUGGAACUGAGACACGGUCCAGACUCCUACGGGAGGCAGCAGUGGGGAAUUUUGGACAAUGGGGGCAACCCUGAUCCAGCCAUUCCGCGUGAGUGAAGAAGGCCUUCGGGUUGUAAAGCUCUUUCGCAAGAGAAGAAAUCUUGCUAUUUAAUAAAUAGUAAGGAUGACGGUAUCUUGACAAGAAGCACCGGCUAACUACGUGCCAGCAGCCGCGGUAAUACGUAGGGUGCAAGCGUUAAUCGGAAUUACUGGGCGUAAAGCGUGCGCAGGCGGUUUUAUAAGUCAGAUGUGAAAUCCCCGAGCUCAACUUGGGAACUGCGUUUGAAACUGUAAGACUAGAGUGUGUCAGAGGGGGGUAGAAUUCCAUGUGUAGCAGUGAAAUGCGUAGAUAUGUGGAGGAAUACCAAUGGCGAAGGCAGCCCCCUGGGAUAACACUGACGCUCA